RNAcentral lists this ribosomal RNA (464 nucleotides) under uncultured bacterium. RNAcentral describes it as "partial 16S ribosomal RNA". It matches the Rfam family "Bacterial small subunit ribosomal RNA", at positions 338 to 795 of the family's 1533-position model. The record is from RNAcentral.
CCUACGGGAGGCAGCAGUAGGGAAUCUUCCACAAUGGGCGAAAGCCUGAUGGAGCAACGCCGCGUGGGUGAAGAAGGUCUUCGGAUCGUAAAACCCUGUUGUUAGAGAAGAAAGUGCGUGAGAGUAACUGUUCACGUUUCGACGGUAUCUAACCAGAAAGCCACGGCUAACUACGUGCCGGCAGCCGCGGUAAUACGUAGGUGGGAAGCGUUAUCCGGAUUUUUGGGGGUAAAGGGGUGAGCAGGCGGAAGCUCAAGUAAGCGGUAAGAUUGAGGGGCUCAACCUGUUCGAGCCUUUGAAACUGGUGUUCUUGAGGGAGUGAGAAGUAGACGGAAUGCGUGGUGUAGCGGUGAAAUGCAUAGAUAUCACGCAGAACUCCGAUUGCGAAGGCAGCAUGCCGGCGCUCAACUGACGCUCAUGCACGAAAGUGUGGGUAUCGAACAGGAUUAGAUACCCUUGUAGUC